GAUGAACGCUGGCGGCGUGCCUAAUACAUGCAAGUCGAGCGAAUGGAUUAAGAGCUUGCUCUUAUGAAGUUAGCGGCGGACGGGUGAGUAACACGUGGGUAACCUGCCCACAAGACUGGGAUAACUCCGGGAAACCGGGGCUAAUACCGGAUAAUAUUUUGAACUGCAUGGUUCAAAAUUGAAAGGCGGCUUCGGCUGUCACUUAUGGAUCGACCCGCGUCGCAUUAGCUAGUUGGUGAGGUAACGGCUCCCCAAGGCAACGAUGCGUAGCCGACCUGAGAGGGUGAUCGGCCACACUGGGACUGAGACACGGCCCAGACUCCUACGGGAGGCAGCAGUAGGGAAUCUUCCGCAAUGGACGAAAGUCUGACGGAGCAACGCCGCGUGAGUGAUGAAGGCUUUCGGGUCGUAAAACUCUGCUGUUAGGGAAGAACAAGUGCUAGUUGAAUAAGCUGGCACCUUGACGGUACCUAACCAGAAAGCCACGGCUAACUACGUGCCAGCCGCCGCGGUAA
RNAcentral lists this ribosomal RNA (515 nucleotides) under uncultured bacterium. Its description in RNAcentral is "partial 16S ribosomal RNA". It matches the Rfam family "Bacterial small subunit ribosomal RNA", at positions 28 to 523 of the family's 1533-position model. The record is from RNAcentral.